GGAAUAUUGGUCAAUGGACGCAAGUCUGAACCAGCCAUGCCGCGUGCAGGAUGACGGUCCUAUGGAUUGUAAACUGCUUUUGUACAGGAAGAAACAACUCUACGUGUAGAGUCUUGACGGUACUGUAAGAAUAAGGAUCGGCUAACUCCGUGCCAGCAGCCGCGGUAAUACGGAGGAUCCAAGCGUUAUCCGGAAUCAUUGGGUUUAAAGGGUCCGUAGGCGGUUUAGUAAGUCAGUGGUGAAAGCCCAUCGCUCAACGGUGGAACGGCCAUUGAUACUGCUAGACUUGAAUUAUUAGGAAGUAACUAGAAUAUGUAGUGUAGCGGUGAAAUGCUUAGAGAUUACAUGGAAUACCAAUUGCGAAGGCAGGUUACUACUAAUUGAUUGACGCUGAUGGACGAAAGCGUGGGUAGCGAACAGGAUUAGAUACCCUGG
This 435-nucleotide ribosomal RNA is filed under the name uncultured Flavobacterium sp. RNAcentral describes it as "bacterial SSU rRNA". It matches the Rfam family "Bacterial small subunit ribosomal RNA", at positions 358 to 790 of the family's 1533-position model. Lineage: Bacteria; Pseudomonadati; Bacteroidota; Flavobacteriia; Flavobacteriales; Flavobacteriaceae. The record is from RNAcentral.